UAGGGAUGUCUAUGAUCCAAAAACGGUGA
Molecule: non-coding RNA, 29 nt
Filed under: Rattus norvegicus (Norway rat)
Lineage: Eukaryota; Metazoa; Chordata; Mammalia; Rodentia; Muridae
Source: RNAcentral